AUACGAGGGGUGCAAGCGUUAAUCGGAAUUACUGGGCGUAAAGCGUUCGUAGGCGGUUUGUUAAGCAAGAUGCGAAAGCCCUGGGCUCAACCUGGGAACUGCAUUUUGAACUGGCAAGCUAGAAUACUGUAGAGGGUGGUGGAAUUUCCAGUGUAGCGGUGAAAUGCGUAGAGAUUGGAAGGAACAUCAGUGGCGAAGGCGGCCACCUGGACAGAUAUUGACGCUGAGGAACGAAAGCGUGGGGAGCGAACAGGAUUAGAAACCCCUGUAGUCC
RNAcentral lists this ribosomal RNA (274 nucleotides) under uncultured bacterium. RNAcentral describes it as "partial 16S ribosomal RNA". It matches the Rfam family "Bacterial small subunit ribosomal RNA", at positions 523 to 796 of the family's 1533-position model. The record is from RNAcentral.